UACGUAGGCAGCAAGCGUUGUUCGGAGUUACUGGGCGUAAAGAGUGUGUAGGCGGUUCUUUAAGUUUGGUGUGAAAUCUCCCGGCUUAACUGGGAGGGUGCGCCGAAAACUGGAGGGCUUGAGUAUGGGAGAGGAAAGCGGAAUUCCUGGUGUAGCGGUGAAAUGCGUAGAUAUCAGGAGGAACACCUGUGGUGUAGACGGCUUUCUGGACCAUCACUGACGCUGAGACACGAAAGCGUGGGGAGCAAACAGG
Molecule: ribosomal RNA, 253 nt
Filed under: uncultured bacterium
Lineage: Bacteria
Description: partial 16S ribosomal RNA
Rfam family: Bacterial small subunit ribosomal RNA
Source: RNAcentral